Phascolarctos cinereus (koala) is the source of this 244-nucleotide non-coding RNA. The record is from RefSeq and is a predicted model, not a curated record. Lineage: Eukaryota; Metazoa; Chordata; Mammalia; Diprotodontia; Phascolarctidae.
CUAUUAGAAUGUUGGAGCUGGAAUGGACCUUAAAGGAAGAAGCAUAGUCCAAAUUUCUGAUUUUACAGGUCAUGUAGUCAUGUAUCCCAAGCUGGGCUGGACCUUGGAGGUGACCUAAUGCAACCUCCUCGUGGGCAACAUGAGGAAACUGAAGCCAAGAGAUGUGACCCAACUUGCCCAGAACUCAUGCUAAAUAUUUGUGAAAAGACCACCAGGCAACAGAUUAUCCUAUGUUGAUGGAGAC